This 458-nucleotide ribosomal RNA is filed under the name Bacillus sp. (in: firmicutes). RNAcentral's name for it is "bacterial SSU rRNA". It matches the Rfam family "Bacterial small subunit ribosomal RNA", at positions 596 to 1052 of the family's 1533-position model. Lineage: Bacteria; Bacillati; Bacillota; Bacilli; Caryophanales; Bacillaceae. The record is from RNAcentral.
GAAAGCCCCCGGCUCAACCGGGGAGGGUCAUUGGAAACUGGGGAACUUGAGUGCAGAAGAGGAGAGUGGAAUUCCACGUGUAGCGGUGAAAUGCGUAGAGAUGUGGAGGAACACCAGUGGCGAAGGCGACUCUCUGGUCUGUAACUGACGCUGAGGAGCGAAAGCGUGGGGAGCGAACAGGAUUAGAUACCCUGGUAGUCCACGCCGUAAACGAUGAGUGCUAAGUGUUAGGGGGUUUCCGCCCCUUAGUGCUGCAGCUAACGCAUUAAGCACUCCGCCUGGGGAGUACGGUCGCAAGACUGAAACUCAAAGGAAUUGACGGGGGCCCGCACAAGCGGUGGAGCAUGUGGUUUAAUUCGAAGCAACGCGAAGAACCUUACCAGGUCUUGACAUCCUCUGACAAUCCUAGAGAUAGGACGUCCCCUUCGGGGGCAGAGUGACAGGUGGUGCAUGGUUGU